UACGAAGGGGGCUAGCGUUGUUCGGAUUUACUGGGCGUAAAGCGCGUGUAGGCGGGUCGUUAAGUCGGGGGUGAAAGCCCGGAGCUCAACUCCGGAACUGCCUCCGAUACUGGCGACCUAGAGUAAGGAAGAGGUGAGUGGAAUUCCGAGUGUAGAGGUGAAAUUCGUAGAUAUUCGGAGGAACACCAGUGGCGAAGGCGGCUCACUGGUCCUUUACUGACGCUGAGACGCGAAAGCGUGGGGAGCAAACAGG
Molecule: ribosomal RNA, 253 nt
Filed under: uncultured bacterium
Lineage: Bacteria
Description: partial 16S ribosomal RNA
Rfam family: Bacterial small subunit ribosomal RNA
Source: RNAcentral